UCCUACGGGGGGCAGCAGUGGGGGAUAUUGCACAAUGGGGGGAACCCUGAUGCAGCGACGCCGCGUGGGUGAAGGAGCGUUUCGGCGCGUAAAGCCCUAUCGGCAGGGAAGAAGAUGACGGUACCUGACCAAGAAGCCCCGGCUAACUACGUGCCAGCAGCCGCGGUAAUACGUAGGGGGCAAGCGUUAUCCGGAUUUACUGGGUGUAAAGGGAGCGUAGACGGCUGCGCAAGUCAGAAGUGAAAGCCCGGGGCUCAACCGCGGGACUGCUUUUGAAACUGUGUAGCUAGAGUGCAGGAGGGGUA
RNAcentral lists this ribosomal RNA (305 nucleotides) under uncultured bacterium. RNAcentral describes it as "bacterial SSU rRNA". It matches the Rfam family "Bacterial small subunit ribosomal RNA", at positions 337 to 659 of the family's 1533-position model. The record is from RNAcentral.